UACGUAGGGGGCAAGCGUUGUUCGGAAUUACUGGGCGUAAAGGGCGCGUAGGCGGCAUGGCAAGUCGGGAGUGAAAGGCCUGGGCUCAACCGAGGAACUGCUUUCGAGACUGCCAAGCUAGAGUGCGGAAGGUGCAUCUGGAAUUCCCAGUGUAGCGGUGAAAUGCGUAGAUAUUGGGAAGAACACCUGAGGCGAAGGCGGGAUGCUGGGCCGACACUGACGCUGAGGCGCGAAAGCCAGGGGAGCAAACAGG
Molecule: ribosomal RNA, 253 nt
Filed under: uncultured bacterium
Lineage: Bacteria
Description: partial 16S ribosomal RNA
Rfam family: Bacterial small subunit ribosomal RNA
Source: RNAcentral